CAGCAGCCGCGGGAAUACAGAGGGUGCAAGCGUUAAUCGGAAUUACUGGGCGUAAAGCGCGCGUAGGUGGUUUGUUAAGUUGGAUGUGAAAUCCCCGGGCUCAACCUGGGAACUGCAUCCAAAACUGGCAAGCUAGAGUAUGGUAGAGGGUGGUGGAAUUUCCUGUGUAGCGGUGAAAUGCGUAGAUAUAGGAAGGAACACCAGUGGCGAAGGCGACCACCUGGACUGAUACUGACACUGAGGUGCGAAAGCGUGGGGAGCAAACAGGAUUAGAGACCCCCGUAGUCCAUGUCUCUUAUAC
This 301-nucleotide ribosomal RNA is filed under the name uncultured bacterium. Its description in RNAcentral is "partial 16S ribosomal RNA". It matches the Rfam family "Bacterial small subunit ribosomal RNA", at positions 509 to 807 of the family's 1533-position model. The record is from RNAcentral.